This 19-nucleotide small nuclear RNA is filed under the name Arabidopsis thaliana (thale cress). Its description in RNAcentral is "snRNA_04120". Lineage: Eukaryota; Viridiplantae; Streptophyta; Magnoliopsida; Brassicales; Brassicaceae. The record is from RNAcentral.
AUCAGGAAGAUGAAGCUCU